AACGAACGCUGGCGGCAGGCUUAACACAUGCAAGUCGAACGCGUGCAGCAAUGCACGAGUGGCGCACGGGUGAGUAACGCGUGGAUAUCUGCCUUUUGGUUCGGAAUAACCCCGGGAAACUGGGGCUAAUACCGGAUGGUUCCUACGGGAUAAAGAUUUAUCGCCAAAAGAUGAGUCCGCGUCCGAUUAGCUAGUUGGUGAGGUAAUGGCUCACCAAGGCGACGAUCGGUAGCUGGUCUGAGAGGACGAUCAGUCACACUGGGACUGAGACACGGCCCAGAUUAUGGGGGGGGGCAGCAGGGGAUAGUAUGCAGCAGUCGGGCCGAACUUGUAGCAGCGGUGACGUGUGGGAAGGGAAGGUCGUUGGUUUAUAAAGCUCUGUAGGGGGUGAUGGCGCCGAGGGUACCAACAGAAUAAGCCCCGCCUAGAGCCGUACGACCGACAGAAGGAUUAGACGAAGAGAACACGGCCGAAC
Molecule: ribosomal RNA, 475 nt
Filed under: uncultured bacterium
Lineage: Bacteria
Description: partial 16S ribosomal RNA
Rfam family: Bacterial small subunit ribosomal RNA
Source: RNAcentral